RNAcentral lists this ribosomal RNA (301 nucleotides) under uncultured bacterium. RNAcentral's name for it is "partial 16S ribosomal RNA". It matches the Rfam family "Bacterial small subunit ribosomal RNA", at positions 509 to 807 of the family's 1533-position model. The record is from RNAcentral.
CAGCAGCCACGGGAACACGGAGGGGGCUAGCGUUGUUCGGAAUUACUGGGCGUAAAGCGCACGUAGGCGGCUUGGUAAGUUAGAGGUGAAAGCCUGGAGCUCAACUCCAGAAUUGCCCUUAAGACUGCCGAGCUAGCAGGUGAGAGAGGUAAGUGGAAUUCCGAGUGUAGAGGUGAAAUUCGUAGAUAUUCGGAAGAACACCAGUGGCGAAGGCGGCUUACUGGCUCAUACUGGACGCUGAGGUGCGAAAGCGUGGGGAGCAAACAGGAUUAGAUACCCCGGUAGUCCCUGUCUCUUAUAC